This 34951-nucleotide long non-coding RNA is filed under the name Ananas comosus (pineapple). RNAcentral's name for it is "long non-coding RNA (ACOM_LNC011982)". Lineage: Eukaryota; Viridiplantae; Streptophyta; Magnoliopsida; Poales; Bromeliaceae. The record is from RNAcentral.
GUAUAUAAUGUAUUCGUAUAUAUUGUAUAAUGUAUAUAUUAUGGUAUAUGUAUAUGUAUAUAUGUAUAUGUAUAUAUAUAUAAUAUAUAUAUUUAAUUUAUAUGUAUAUAUGUUAUAUGUAUAUGCAUAUAUGUAUUGUAUAAUGUAUAUGUAUAUAUGUAUAUAUGUAUACUGUAAUAUAAUAUGUAUAUAUGUAAUAUGUUAUAUAUAUAUGUAUAUGUAUACUAUAUGAUAUAGUAUAUGUAUAUGUAUAUAUAUAUGUAUAUAUAUCUAUAUGUAUAUGUAUAUAUGGAUCGUAUAUUAUGUUAUAUAUAUAUGUAUAUUGUAUAAUGUAUAUAUAAUGUAUAUGUAUAUGUAUAUACGUAAUAUUGUCAUACUUAUAUAUGUUAUAUAUUAUAUUUAUUGUAUAUAUGUAUAUGUAUAUUGUAUAUAUGUAAUAUGUAAUAUAAUGUAUCUAUGUAUAUGUAUAUAAUAUGUAUAUUAUGUAUAUGAUAUAUAUAUGUAUAUGUAUAAUAACAUAUAAAUAUACAUAACAUAUAUACAUAUAUCUACAUAACCAUAUAUAACAUAUACAUAUAUACAUAUACAUAUAUAUAUACAUAUACAUAUACAAUAUAUACAUAUAUACAAAUAUACAUAUACAUAUAUACAUAUAUCAUAUACAUAUAUAUAUAUAUAUACUAUAGUUCAGCCUAUGGUCUUAUCAAAGCACACAAGCACUUCGUGUGUAAGUUUUUUACCGUUACCGAUCUAACUCCUCGGAUCCCAUUUUCAAACCAUUAUAAUUAUACUAUUCAACGCACCACCUCACUCAUCCUCUAGGGCCUACAUCAUCCUACCGCACUAUCUCUUUAAUCCAAUGCUAAAAAAUCUACACAAGCACCUAUAAACUUGGUAGCUUUCUAAAUAGCAUAGACUUCAAUUCUAUAUAUAUUAUAUAUAAUAUAUAUAUAUAUAUAUAAUACUAUAUAUAUAUAUUAUAUUAUAUUGUAUAGUGUAUACUAUGUAUAUGUAUAUAUGAUUAUGUUAUAUAUAUAUAUAUAUUUUUAUAUAUAAUUAGUAUAUUUAAUAUAUACUGUAUAUGUAUAUGUAUAUGUAUACAUAUAUAUACAUAUAUACAUACAUAUGUAUAUAUGUAUAUAUAUAGGCUAGGGCUACUAUACUCUUAUGAGUAUAGAGCACUUUGUACUCAUAAGUUUUCGACCAUUGGAUGAAAGGAUAUGCGGUUAGGAUGAUAAUGGUCCAAUCCAUUCGCAGAUCUAAUGGACAGAUCUCUUGAUAUCGCGUGAGGAUCAAGGAGGGUUCUUAUGUAGUGAAACGAAAAUUUUGCGAAAAGCCUACAUUUUAUAUAUCGAUUUGCGUGAAAUCGAGCAUAGGGGUACAUUAGCGCGUUUUACUCGUGCUGUGAAGGACUCAAAUUAAAAUAUUUGGAUUUGGGGGAUUUUUGCGCAAAAUGAAGCUUUGUAUUUAUAUUGGCCACCUAGGGUUUUCAUGAUCCAAAAACGCUAACCCUGGCCCAUUGUGUUCAACUGAGCUCCCAGCCGCCUCUCAUCCUUUACCCUCAUGCACCGCGCGCUGCCUGACCCCCGCUGACCUAGCUCUGGCCGGCCAACCACCUCCUCAGCCACUAUCUCCUUCUCUCCCUCUCACAUUGCCACCAACUCCUCUUUUUCUCUGCUCGAGUGCUUGGCAGGGUGAUCUCUCACCCUUGGGCUCUCCUCCGGCGACGCCCCGAACCUCCGGCGACCUCCCCCAGCUGGCCACAGCCACCCCCGAGCGCCACCGCCGAGAAUGCUAUAGCAUGCAGUCAGCUCAGGCUGGUGCGGCCGAGCCUUGCCACGCCGUCUUCUCGGCUGCCGACCGCCGACCGCCGUCUUCUCUGGAGCCGAAGGCCGUGCCCCUCCCCUGCUUACUCGGGCCAUCUCCGUGGCCGGAGAAGCGAGCUAAGCCCCUCUCGGCUUUACAGGAAGGUCAUGCCCCUCCCCUACUUACUCCGGUCAUCUCCGUGGCCGGAGAAGCGAGCUAAGCCCUAGGUGAGCCUGUGCGGGCUCAGUUUCUUCCCGUGCCGCCACCGCCGCCUCCUGCUGUCGGCCGACACGUCCGCCGGCACCCCUUGUCGGCCGCGCUCGGCUGCCGUCGGCACCUCCGUCGCCGGGGUCCCCUGUCGGCCGGAUCGAAGUGAACUCUCUUUUGACCCGUGCGGCUAGGUCAUCAUUGCCCGCAGCCACCGCCGCCUUCUGUCGCCGGCAGACGCGCGCCCCGACCUCCCCCUGCCGGCCGCACCCACCUGCCGCCGGCACCCCUAGCUCUCCCCUGGCCUGUAAGCUAAUUUACUGUUGUUUGUGCACUGUUUUGGGGUUGUUUGCACUGUUCCGGCGAUCCGAGGCUACCCCGAUGCCUCCGGAACUGAGCACGAUGAUCCUUGAUCAGUGCUGAUCAUCGUGCCCAUCUCCUUUGGGGUCAGCGAGCCCCUGGUUUGUGGAAUGAGCGUGAUUUAAGUUCAGUGCACGUAGUUCGUUGAAUUUCGGGUUGCCGCCGCACCCUCCACAGUGAGCCUGUAAGGACUGAACCUUUGCAAAUUGCGAGGUUCGAGUGUUUGAUCUGUGUGACGAGCCAUCUCAGACUUUCUGAAGGGUCGUAGACAGUGUGCCGACCCAUGGUUCGAGUCCCGAGAAUUGUGGUUUGAAGCGGUGUACCAAAAUCCAAAAAGUUGGAUUUUUGGUUAGCUCUCGGGUUGCCUUCAGCGGGCUGCGUACCGGUACGGGUUCGCUUGCUGUACCGGUACGUGAUCGAUGGCUGUACCGGUACGUGGUAGUGUACCGGUACACAGACCAUUUCCCAGCAAACCCGAGGCUCGGGUUUGGCUUUUCGUGGGUGGUGUACCGGUACACAAACCCGUGUACCGGUACACAGUGCAGAGNUUCGCUUGCUGUACCGGUACGGGGUUGAUGGCUGUACCGGUACGUGGUUGUGUACCGGUACACAGAGCAUUUCCCAGCGAACCCGAGGCUCGGGUUUGGCAGUUCGUGGGCAGUGUACCGGUACACAAACCCGUGUACCGGUACACAGUGCAGAGCGGGCUGUUUUCGUGGAGGGGUGUUUUUGCAAUUGUUGCAACACCUAUAUAUGACACCCCAGCCCCUUUGUGAGCUCCUUUGAGCCCUAGACCAGUGGAGAAAAGGUGAGAACUCCUCCCCUAUGGUUUCUUCUCCAUUUUUGUUAGGUUUUUGCUAGUUUUGAUCUCUUUUCUCUUCUCCUUCUUGCUUUUGUGGGUAUUUCACCAUUGGAGAAGAGUGAGAUCUUGGUUGGAGCUUGUUUGAGGAUCAACCUUCAACCCUAGAGGACUUUGGAGCUUGGUUUGGAGCUUUUAAGAGGUUUGUAGCUUUUUCUCUCCUCUAGAUUCGAAUUUUGUUGGAUGUUACUGGAUCAAACCCUAGAUUUUGAGUUUUAGGGCUAAAAAUGGGGAUUUUUGAUUUGUAGCUUCUAGAACCAAAUUGAUUGGUUUAGAACUUUGAUUUAGGUUGAAUUUGAAGGAAUCUAACUCCCUUUACGAGAUCGAGAGAGAUUCGUUAGCUUUCGGUGAGUUUUCUCCAACCUAGCUAGAAAAGCUUAAUGUUUGAGCUUAGCUUUGUUCGUGAGCUUUGUUUGACACAUGUUUCUAUACCUCUAGGAUACUAGGAGACUAGAGGACACCCUCGUUGGAGCGCACGAGGAGUUUCGUUGUCAUCGGUGGGUUUGGCUUCCUUGAAAUCGGAGGAAAUUCCUCCUAAGUGGUUAAAUGCUUUCAUUCUCUUCAAAUUCAUGCAUAUUCAUGUUUAGUAGCAUUUAUGGGAAUUUUGAAUGCUUAGAACUCAUAUGUUAUGCAUCAAGGAAGUUACUCUAUAUAGUAGAGAGACAAAUGUGCUUUGUUAAUAUGCAUGCGACGAAUACUCUAUGAGAUGAUAGGAAAUAAGGCUUCAUGCUUCGAUUUUGACUAGAAAUUAUAAGUUCUUGAACUUAUUAUCCAUGUUGGGACAAAAUGAGCCAUAGUGUCAUAAAGAGGCACUUGGACUAGAGAAUUAUUAAACUGCAACAUAGAGACUUGAUAAUGGGCCACAUUGACAUCAACUAUAUUCCAUAUUUGAGAUAUGAUAAAAUAGUGACUCAGCCACGAGGACAUUGCUAUAUACCAUGUUACUGAACAUGAGAAUUUGGUACUUGCGACUGAUCGUUUGAUUACUUGCCAUUGUGCUGAUUCGCACAUGCUUGUGAGGGUCGCUCCCUACAAGCCGGCACUCCGGAGAUGGCCAUCGCGAUACAUAUUCGCCGUGCGGGAUUGGGCGCCGAAGUGGAUUGCCGUGGGACAGGCUCAUUCCCAGGGUGGGGAUGAUGACUACCACGGGGCCAUCAGGCUCGGCACCGGCCAGACAGCCUACGGGUGGGUCUCAGGGCCAUAGACAGCCUUCGGGUGGGUCUCUUCAGAUUCGACUUGAGUAUUCAUCAUGACAUGUGGACAGAUGAUGACUUAGAGUAUUAUUUGGACAUUGACUAGAAUAGUAAACAUCGGAACUUUACUAUUUCGCAUUGUGAACAUUAUGAUAGUUGGAGACUUAUACUUCAUGCAUAGUUGCUUUCGUACUCAUGCUAUUUAUGCUAAGUGGAGACCUUAUGCUAUAGUAAGUUAUAUUUUACUUACCGUCUAAUUAUUACAUUGUUAGUCACUGACCUCUUCUUGUAGCUUUUGGGCCUUGUGGCGCAGUUCACUGAAGUCAGUAAUUGCCCACUGGGAACUAUUUUUAAUAGUUCUCAUGCCCGUUGUUUCUAAUGUUUUCUUUUCAGAGCUUCAGGCACCGCGGAGGCCACGGAUCGCGGCGCAAGGGUGUCGCGUAGCUAGCCCGGGAGAGUUCUUUUGCGCUAGGUGGUUGCUUCUUCUCCAUUUUUAUAUUUUGAGAGAGAGAGGGCUUUGUAUCCAUGUAUAGAGACCACCUGUGUACCCACUUAUAGCACUUGUAUUUGGGAUCCCUAUUGUACUACUUUAUGUCUUAUUUAGUAGAUUUACAGUUUUAUCCUUAUUCCUUGUUGUAGCAUUUAGACAUUUAUUAUGCUCUGAUACUCCUAGAUGUCUCUUAUUACUGCUUUUAUUAUUGUUAUUUUUAGACGCCUUAUAUGUUGUAGACAUAUGGCGGGUCUGGGCACGCGCCGGGCGGGCUUUCGCUGGGUCCCGGGGCGUGACACAUUUGAAACUAGUGAAAUAGAACACUACGGCAUUUGAAUAUAGGGAUAGUUGAGUUUCCGAGUAAUUGUUAAUCCUAGUUGAUAGGGUAUCCUUAGUUGGCGAGAAUUGGAUCAUACUCACAUAGUCUGUUAUGCGCUUGGUAGUUGUCGCCCCACCCAAGCAGUGCGCUCCGGAGUUGUCACGCAAGGGGUAGACGUAGUUGUCCCACAGGCGAUCUCGGGUGGGAUAAGAGCGGGGUAGCUCCUCACCUAUGAGAUUUGAGAUGUGAGUCGCGGCAAACCUUUGGGUUAACCAAGUGAUUGGGUUAUAACAUGGAUGACAUUACUUCUUGAACAUAAUAGCAUGAUAGCUGAUUUCAUUACUAUGUAGUUCAUGCAUUCAUUACAGUUGAUUGAGGCAUAGUAGUGUAUAUUUGUAGAAUUCAUUACUAUGUCAUAGUUGUUUUCAUAUCUAUCUAUCUAUCUGCUUAUGCCUGUUUAGACCUAGUGGGAAAAUCGGCGGAGUUAGCGGCUGAACCCACUGGAAACUAUUCGUAGUUCUCAUCCCACUUUGUUGCAGGGCCAAGUUCGAGCGCUCCGGGUGAGGAUCGUGGUAAGAGCAUAGCGACCUAGUAGCUAGUAGCUUUCCAUUUGCAUUAGAGUACCCUCGAGUACAUAGUGAUAUUGAUGUAUAUGUUGGUGAGGAUUUUGGAGAGUUACUUAUGUAUUUAGAUGAUGAACUUGUAAACCAUGUGUAUAUAUUUUGGGAGAUGUAAAUGUAAACCUGUUGCUAAAUGGUCGAAUGGUUGUAAUAGUUAGAACUCUCUCUCUUUUGCUCUCUUGUGUGCUUGUAUGUAUACUCUCAUUGUUCAUGUAUGUUGUUUAAGUUUACCUGGGCAACUUGAUGUACAUGACUUGUUGUUUAGCCUUGGGCGGGCAGGGGAGGUAAUGUCCGUUCGGCGUCUGUUUGACGUGCCCCAACCGGCCAAAUUGGCGAUCGUGGGGCGUGACAGCAUGUGUCUCAGCUGACCUCGAAAGCCCUCGGUUUGCAAUAUCGAGCUGAAAAACCCCGUAAAUCACAUGAAAUAAUGUGAUUUUAUGUAUUUGUAGGGGUUUUAUGCAAUUGGGCACUUUGUGGCUGCUGUGGGCAGUAUGUGUAGGUGGCCGGUGAUCUCUGGACUGAUUGUCCAAAAUCCGAGGCCUUUACGAAAAUCGAAUAUCGAUUUCCGGUGCGUAUUUCGGCGAAAUUCACCGACGGAACACGGUUUCGGUCCAGAUUCCUCCCGACGAUGUUCGAGUGUACUAUAUACUUUGUCGUUGAGCCUGGUUGGCUGGUCACUUAUGUUGUUUCGAAAGCCUGGAGACGACGGGUGAGCGACAGUGGGUUCCGGUGUCGAAAUUGACACUUUCGGGAAUCCGGAUCGAAACAGUUAUCUGACGAUAAUCGUUCCGGUUUGAGACUUGAUGUUUGCUGCCAGGACACCUUUAAUAUUGUGUUUUGUGGCAGCGGGUGACUCGUGGCACUAGUCGGUGAGUGCUGGGACACUUCGUGGGUCCCAGCAGAGUUCAGGUGCGAUUUUCGAAACUUUCGACGGAUUACGGUAAUCGAUUUUGGAAAACCGAUUCCCGUGGGAUUAUUUGUGGGGUUAUGGGUUUAGUGUUCCUUAUAUUUGGGUUAGAUACUAACUCGGUGGACCCUUCGUAGGUUCGGUUGAUAAUCUUCCACAAUAGGAGAUAGGCACGAUAUUCAUACAGAUGGAUACUUCGAUGCGAAGUCGGUGUAGUGGAACAACAACGAAACCUCUACCGAGUGCGUGUAUCAUCUUUUUAUCACAGAAAAUGUCACGCCCCGCGACCCGCCAAUUUGGCCAGAUCCGGGCACGUCGAUCAGACGCCGAACGGACAGCACCUCCCUGUCCGCCCAAGGCUCAACGACAAUAUCAUGUAUCAGAAUUUGCCCAGGAGAAAUUCAUUCAACAUACAUGAUACGACGAAGCACCACUAGUGCUAUACAAUUAAGAGCAAGAAUCACAAGUAACAUACAAGUGAAAUAAAGAGAGAUACAUCUAGCUAUUACAUUCAUUCAACCUCAUUUUUCAUAUUGAUUUACAUUUUCAUCUUCCCAAAUGAAUACAUAUUCUUCUCAUAAAACAAAAUGGCUCUCCAAUAUCUAUCCAAAAUAUACAUGGUAUCUAGUACACGAAGGUAGUCUAAUUUAUAAUGGAAAGCUACUAACUAACUCACUUAAGGCGCUAUGCCCUUACCGCGAUCCUCACUCAGUUAGCCCCUAUGUGUACCUGUACCCCAAAACCACAUGGGGUGAGAACUAUAUAAAUAUAGUUUCCAGUGGUUUUGGCCGCCGACGCCGCCGGUUUUCCCACUAGGUCUAAGCUGGCACAGAUAGAUAGAUAGAAAGGUAGAUAGAAAUACAUUGCUACUAUAUCUACUAUGCCAUCAAAUGCAAAGAAUGCAUGGAACAUCAUCUAGCAAUAAUCUACUAUUUUGCUAGUAUGCUUCAACAGUGUAAUGAAUACAACUACAACAUAGUUAUGCAGUCUACUAUAUCUAAUCAUGGUAUGAAUGCAAUCCACUUAUGCUAUUCAUGUUACGACCUAAUCGACUAGGCCAACUUGCCUAAAAUCUCAAAUCUCAAAGGUCCUAGGCAAAGAGCUACCCCGCCCCUUGCCCGACUCAAUCUCGAAGGUCCUAGGCAAAGAGCUACCCCGCUCCUCGCCCGACUCAAUCUCGCUCUACUAGGUACGAGCUGCCCGCUCAAAUCUCAUAAGUGAAGUAAUAGUAUGUCUCAACAAUAAAAAAAUGAGCUACUACAUAGUGAUGUCUCUACACAUGCUACUAUGUCUCAACAAUAAAGAAAUGAGCUACUACAUAGUGAUGUCUCUACACAUGCUACUAUGUCUCAACAAUCCGAAUGAACGAGCUACUACAUAGUGCGUCGUGCAAUUAUACCUCGAUAGUAUCCAAUCUCAUAGCCAACUCGAAGGUUGCCACCCCGGGGUCAACCCCGACUUACUCUCAAUCUCAUAGGUGAGGAGAAUUUGUACUCGCACACCGAGACCAUCUGCGGGACAACUACGUCUGCCCCUAGUGAAGUACUCCGGAGACUCGUGCCUCGGUGGAGCGACCACCGACAAGCAAAACAGACUAGUGAGUAUGAUCCAAUCCUCACAAGAGGAUACCCUAUCUACCAGGGUAAAUGUGCCUCUGCUGCACAAUACCAAAUGCAUAAUCAAUGCCUCAAAAGCACUAAUGCCAAAUGCAUAAUGUCUACAACAUGACAAUCGGAAAAAUCUACUAUCCCUAGGUUCAAAUGCCAUAGUGUUCCACUACACUAGGUUUGAUGCCACUCGUUUAUGUCAUGAUGUUAUAUGCGUUUUAAUACACUAAAUCGACAUGCCACUCGUCAAUAUUAUAGUGUCUUUAUUACACUAGUCCAAAUGCCACUCGUCUAGGCCAAUUACAUGUCCAAGUUCAUCAUCAUUCUUGUCACUAUAGGAUUCUUGUCACAAGACCCAAUCCUCAUGCAACCUAAGAUCAAGUGUCAAGCCCACAAUGCUACACAACCUAGGUAACAUGCAAGGAAUGGAAAUGUAAUCAUCUACUAAUCCUAUAAUGCACAAUAUAUCAACAUAUAGGAAUAUGAUCAAAAUAUAGAACUUAGACAUAAAAGGAAGCUCAGUUGCUUCGGGAUGGACACCCUCCUACCUUUCAAUGCUACCAAGAGGCUAGGGUUCCGAUUUCGUGAUUUUUGGAAGCUUUCGCCGCAAGCUGCGGCAAUCUGUACCUUAACGGCUUCGUUCUUUAAUAUCUUCGCGUACGCUAGUCGUAUCGCCGAACCGACUUCACCAACGCGUCAGAAAACCUAGCAAUUAGGUCUAUACAUGAUCAAUUUAGAUCAAACCCUCGCACAUUACAAAAUCUCAUUUUUGAGCCCUAACAUGCAAUUACCCCCAAAUAAUCCAAAUUAAACGGAGCAACAUGCUAAGAAUGCUCAUUAGAGGCUACUAGAACACUUAAGGUUAAGGAUUAAGCCAAAUCCCAAAAUUUUACCAAAAUGUGAACGCCGAGACGGAAGCACGCCACUCCAACGGGCGCAUGAAAACUCGAUCCGUUGCUCCCAACGCAUUCGCAAGCUCGUUCUCCGCCAACGCCGCGAAUUCGGGCGAAAGAUCUAGAGAGAUGAGAGAGUUAUUUAGAGAGAGAAAGUGAGGAUUUCUCUCACUACCACCAUGAACGUGUGGUGUUGUGGGGGUGGUGGUGGUUGUGAAGAAGAAGACUAGAAGCUUCUACUUAUAGCCCACACCCCAAUAGUAGCAUACACUAUUUACUUCAGGCAGUUCGAAAUCUGAUAUCUUUCGUCGGAGCUCUCUGAAUAUCCGUUUGAGCUCAAAUUUGAUAGUCAUGUUCGGUUUUGCUUAACUUAACGAAAGAAAUUUUAAUCUUUCAGUUUCGACCCCGUUUGGUCACCGAAAGCUGUACCGAACUGUAAUCUUUAUCAGACAAUUGUCGGAUUUUAUUUUCCACCUUCCGGGUGUCAGAAUGAUAUAAAACUUUAAAUCUAGUCUAAUAAAAAUAAUUCUGACUUAUCCUCCAGUUUUCAUAAUUUUUUGACACUCUGCAUUUUCUACUAAUUUAUCUGUCUCGUUUCACACAGAAAAUUUUAAAUAUUCUGUUUUCGCUCCGAUUUCAGUACAAGUCAUUUCUAACCUAUAUUUCACUUCUCUAAAUUCAAUAAAAAUAGUAUCUCAUACUAUUUUUAUUUAUUUUCACUUUUAUAUUUAAAAUCCGGUAUGUUACAUUCCACCGCAACCUCACCGGAACCAUUUAAAUGUACACCGUAAUUUCAUAAUUUUAAAAGUCCGGUACCCUACAGAAAAUUUGCUACAAUUUGAACUACUUGGUGUAAAUUGCAAUGGAGUAGCAAUAAAUAUUUUUCUUAUAUUUUCUACUGAAAGUUCUUAGAAUGUAAUUAAAAUAAAAUAAAAAAAUUAAUCAUUGUUUAAUAAUCAGUUAGUUCUUUGACCACUUCACUUUAUGAAUAUCUAGAUUAUCUAAACUUUUUGAAAUCCAAACAAUCUUUUGUCAUUACUCAAAAGAAAAAAAAAUUGUUUGCUGGCGAGCCAUUUGCUCUCCGGAUCGGCAAUGAUCGUUUAGAUGGGGAGGGCCCCACCAUACAUAAAAGGUGGGCCCCUCUCAUGGUGCGGUGCUCGCAGUUUCGGCGAGCCAAUUUUGGCGAGCAUAGUAUUGCGCUACUCGAAACGGGGAAAAGUAAAAAUCCAGAAAAUUGAACUCCUUGCAAUGAAAUGAAAUUAUUGGAGUAAAAUUCAAAGUCCUGCAAUUAAGAUAAAUAACGCCCAUGUCAUGGUCCAAAAGAUGACAAAAGCAAUGAGCUAUCAUAAUAAUGAAGAUCAAGAAAAUAAAAAAGUUAAGAAACGAAACGUAACUGUUCAUUUAAAUUUCUCAUAUACUAACCACACUAGUACAAUUUUUUUUUCUUUAAACCUUUAUAUUCCCUUCUUGAAACUUAGGGAUUGUUGGUUUUGCUGUAGCUAUAAAUAAAUAUAGUAAAAUUAGAAAAGCAUGCCGUUAGAGAUACAACAAACAUAUCCUUUCGACAGUAUGUAAUUGAGAGUGAUUUAACUAGAAAAUUUGCUUGAGUGUUCGAAGUUAAAAUUGCAUUCUGUGUCGAGGGUACCUCUAGAAAAAUAAAAAUGUAUCAUUUUUUAUUUAAGAGGUGAAUGUGUAAAUAAAGUUACUCGUUUAGAAGUACUCUUUUCCAUUACUUCUUCUCUAACUACGUAUGAUUUGUGAGCAAUUCGAGAUGUUAUAGUUGAGCCUCCAUCAGUAGGUCCAACUCAGCAUGUUGAUGUAAUUAUACAAUAAACUAAACAAGAUUUUGUAGUCUUAACGUAAUGAUACUUGCAAUGCAACGUGAAAUGCAAGUAACCGAACAAUACGAGCAACCAAACAACCUCUGUAGAGAAAUCAAAGUCACGACUAUUGUAUCCGGAAAUAAUACUGCUGUGCAUUUUCCAAACAUUGUAGUGGUAUGAUAUAUGGCUCGCCUCAUUGGAAGAGUUUUGUGCACAAGGUUGCAGAAAAAUCAGAUCCUUCAAUAUUUUGGAAUUUCAAGGAUUUCGAUUGAUUUAUGAGUUUGUGCACGCAGAGAAAGAGAGCCUCAAUAUACUUUCCAAUAUUGUAUGAGCAAUCGCGUUCCCCCAUCUCUUUCUUUUUUCUUUUUUUUUUUUUUUUUUUUUACCCCCCAAAAGGCAAGCACAUAACCCCUUUUACAAUCCUACCAAUGAUUUUUUUCACUAAGGACUGGGAGUCAUAAUAACAUCCCACCCCUCGCAUAGAUGCCGUAUCAUUGUGGGUAAGGGUGAGGAUGGUUUGAAUUUUAUUUGAUCGAAUCCUAAAUCGUACUUGAUCGGAGCCGGAUUCGAAUGUCAAAUUAGCUAUUCGAUUGGAUUUGGACUUGAAUUCAGUAAUAAUAAUAAACUUUUCUUUGGAUUCGAUUUUGAAUUCGAAUCCAGAUUUUGUUAUCCUUCAUAUGCGAUGCGUUUCGGCUAUAGAUACGGAAGCGGAUUUGAAUAUUAGUGUUCAAAUCUGUUUUCAACAUGUAGGCUGAGCACUGGGAAAAAGAAGAGUGAAUAUACAUAGUGCAAAGGCAUUUCAAAACUUGGCGUUUGGUCUUUAAAAUAAAAAAGUAAACCAAUCAGGGAUUCAGGAGAGCUCCUUAAGUGUAGAGUUUCUUUUUUUUUUUAUAUAUAUAUAUAUAUAAAAAUUUUUAACAUUUCAAUUUUUUUUUUUGAGAAAUAGGUAGCAAGCAACCUACUUCAUUCAUUAAGUAACAUGAAUUUAGCGUACAUAAUGGAAGCAGCUAGGGCCUCCGGACCGAGCCGGCGACAAAAGAAAAACAAAAGCAAAACAAAACAGGAACACUAAGUAGACAUAGAGAGACAGACAAAACGUUACACAGAAAACAUAGAGAACAUAGAGAUUGCAGGAGGGUUCAAAGUGCUUCGUUCCAGGCUCUGAUCAAAGAAGCGACACGUUCGGUAGCCCAGGAAGCGUUAUGAGCCGCGUCGCUAAAGCACAUGCUAUUUCGUUCCGUCCAGACGACCCACCAAAUUGCCACCAAGUGGGUUAAACUUUUCGAUCUUAUUUCGGUCACGCGAUUCUCGGAGAUCUGUAUCCAAAAUCUCCGAACAUCCCCCGCGUCCGAAUCAGCUAGCACAAGGGGUCCAACUUUAUAUCGGAGGUAUCUGACAAAGAUACAGUCAUGGAACAGGUGAUAGCAGGUUUCGGGUAGUAACGCGCAGAACUUGCAAUGCUGGUCCACCGGGAACCCUCGGCGAAUCAAUCUGUCCGCUGUGAGUAAUCUCUUUCGAAGUAGAAUCCAAACAAAAACUUUAUGCUUAAGUUGGAUUUUUAACCCCCAAAGAUGAUCGUACAAAGAAUCUAUCUGUCCUCCAUCAGAGAUAAAAUCGUAAAGGGACUUAACGGUAAAAUUUUGGUUCGCGGUCCAUCGCCAUUUAGGUAUGUCCUGCGUGAUCGAUGGUCUAUAUUGAGCGAGCAGGCUUUUAAGCGUCGUAGUCUGUUGGCGGAACAAAGAAGUGGUGCUAGUCGCCAGGCCUGUGGUUAUGAAGCGCCAUCUCCACUGUCACGCCCCGAGCUCCGCCAAUUUGGUCGGAUUCGGCCACGUCGACAGACCGCCGAACGAACAGAGCUUUCCCUGUACGUUCUAGGCGUCACAAUCUAAACAAUGCAACAGAAGAGGUCCCAACCAGGAACAGUAGCAAGUAUGUAGAUUGCAUAAGUAUCAAAAACAUAAAAGGCUAACUAUGCAAUUAAUAGCAUUCAUCUCACAAUUUUACAUUUAGAAAAUUUCAUAAGUCUUUAAAUUAUUACAUAAGCCCNGGUCCCAACCAGGAACAGUAGCAAGUAUGUAGAUUGCAUAAGUAUCAAAAACAUAAAAGGCUAACUAUGCAAUUAAUAGCAUUCAUCUCACAAUUUUACAUUUAGAAAAUUUCAUAAGUCUUUAAAUUAUUACAUAAGCCCUUAUACAGUUUACAACUUACACAAUUUAUUACAAAUUUGAUACAAGUUUGUUUCUUUCAUUCUGAACUCCGAGCUAGACUGCUUCAAGGGUACUGCUAUCUCUGGUCUCAGUGGUAGGGCGCUAUCUACGAAGCUACGCCCUGUCCUCGCGCCGCCGCGCCGUUCACGUGCAAACCUGUACCCCCAAAAACCACACGGGGGUGAGAACUAUAUAAAUAUAGUUUCUAGUGGCUACGGCCACCCAAGGGAAGAGCUCGACCCACCAGGUCCAAAAGAGGCAACUGCAGGUUAGUAAACUGAACAGAUAGAUAGAUAUUCGAUGAUACAAUUAGUAAAACCAUACCUUGCCUCACGAUAUGCAAUAUGUAAAUCAUGCAACUAUGUAACAAGUAGAUCGACUGAUCCUACUUUAUAUCUUUAACCAUUCUUUACUUGUAGCCGUUCUUUAUUAGCUAUUUACGUUCAUUAGCUAUUCUUUAUUUCUUAUUCUUUAUUCUUUAUCAUAUUGUGGUCACUGGCGAUUCUUUCCUAAGGUUACUUUACCUUAGUCAUCUAGCCAUCCGACUCGGUCUUGAGUCAAUCAAUCGCGGAUAGUCCGCGCACUAUCUAGCUCGAGGUGAAGGAACUCUCACAUGCACCUCAGCUGGCGACAGCUCACCGUACUCCUGUCCUAACCGUCUAGCGGUGAACGGAUCGCACCUCACCCAACAACUGCCUAGGUGUAUGACUUAGCCACCUGGCGGCGAAAUCGUCGCACACGCCAUGACUGUGGUUCAGUCAACAGGCGGCAGGAUCCACAAACUGGCUUAACUAUCUGGCGGCGAAAUCGUCGCACACGCCGAACAAUGGCUCAAGCCCCUGGGCGGCGAAAUCGUCGCACACACCUAAUGCUCCCUUGGUAUCAACCUCGGCGGCGAAAUCGUCGCACACGCCCUAGCCUUGACACCAAGGUUAUCACAGAUCUUGGGAUUCCGGAAUCCAUUUCCACAACUUAAGGGUUUACUCUUUUACCCUAUUUCGACGACCAUUCUAGGUCUAAAUCAAUCAUCUUUAUGUGGUCUCUCUACCACUAUACCCCAUAACUUAGUCCAACUGUACUAAGUGUUACAAUAUGUCACGACCUAGGUAUCCAAUCACACUAGGUUCUAUGUCAUUUCACCUAGAUCUCAACUCUAGGUUUACUUACUUGACCUAUGUCCAAUGACACUAGGUUCAUGUUCGACCUAUGUUUAUACAUUAGGUUCAUGCCACUCGAUCUAUUUAUUAUCCUAGUUAUCCACGCCUAGGAUUAUAAUUUGCACAUUUACAUUUACCUUGUCACCGUCAAGAUUUCUACUCAACUGGAGUUGUUGAUUUAUACCCAAUUCUUAGGGAUUUAACAUAAGGUUCACAGUUUACAUAUUCUCAUUUAUCUUGUUACCAUCGAGGUUUCUAAUCAACUAGAAUUAUCGACAUUCAUAUAGCUUGAACUAUAGUACAUUCACUUUCAUAUAUGUUUAGACAUAGGCAUCAAACGUUCAUAUUCAACUUACAUGACUUUAGUCUAUGUAUCAACAUUCACAUAUCAUUUAUCAUUCAUACGUUCAUGUAUGUUUAGUCAUAUGCAUCUAGCAUUCAUGUUUAUAUAGGCUUAGUCAUAUGCAUCUAGCAUUCAGGUUUAUAUAGGCUUAGUCAUAUGCAUCUAGCAUUCAUAUCCAUAUGCAUCUAGCAUUCACAUUUCUAGGAUAACCAUUAUAGAUCAUCAUAUAUCAACAAUCAUAUAUGCCUACUCAUAUGCAUCUAGCAUUCAUGUUCAUAUAUCGACAAUCAUAUUCAUUUAUGCGUCAAAUGAAAGCAUGUUUUACUUUGGCAUGGAAGUGACCUAAUCACUUUGGUAAAGCACAACCCACCUUUACUUGAUACCGGAAUGCGAGAAAUUCGCUUCUCGCACUUUCCCGAGAACCACGACCUGCUCUUGCGACAAUUGAUGCCGAAAACGUCUUUUUGGCGCUAUCUUUGCGUAGGCUCGACGGAUUGCCGAACCGACUUCGCCAACGAGUUUCUUUUACCCUCAAUUAGGUUUGUACGCGGUCAAUUUCACGUUAGGACCUUUAUCCUGCAAAAGUGCAUUGUCGGGGUCAAAAUAAAACUAUCGAGCAAUUCAACUUUUAUUUCAUUCCAUCUCUCUUUCUUUUCUUUCUUUUCUUUCUUCUCUUUCUUUUCAUUCUUUUCUUUCUUCUCUUUCUUUUCCUUCCUUCUUUCUUUCUUCCUUUCUUUCCUUUCUUUCUUUUCUUUUCUCUGCAGCCCUGCAGCUGAGCUGCUGCUGCGGCUGCUGACUGGCUGCUGCUGCUGCUGACAGCAGCUAGGCUGAGCUGCUGCUGCUGAAGCUGCUGCUGCGCAAGCUGCUGCUCCUGCUGAGCUGCUACUGCUGCUGCGCAAGCUGCUGCUGCUGAAGCUGCUGCUGCUGACUGCUGCUGCUCCUGCUGAGCUGCUACUGCUGAUUGCUAAUGCCACUGCUGCUACAACCAGUAGCAGAGGGAAAAAUGGAAAGGGAGAAGGAAAGGAGAAGAGAAAAACAAUGAAAUUACCUCUUUUCUUCUUCUCUUUUCUCUUCUUCUUCUUCUCUUCUCUUUCUCUCUCUCUACGUAUAGGAGUGAAGAGGGGGGGGAUAAGGAUGGAGGGCUCCCUGGCAGGGGGUUAGUGGAAAUCCACUAAGCCAUAUGAAAAUUACCAUUUUGCCCCUCGACUUAUCCGUUUAGCGACACAGAUCAAAUACCUUUCGCAGGCCCUUCCGAAAGUCCGAUUGAGCUCAAAUUUGACAGGAAUGCUCGUUUUUACUUAACAAGUCCACUGAAAUUUUAACAUUUCAGUUUUGACCCCGUUUGGUCACUGCGAACUGUCCCGAACUAUAAUCUUCAUCAGAUAACUUUCGGAUGCUAUUUCUCUCUCUACAGGUGUCAGAAUAAUAUGAAACUUCAAAGCUAGCCUCAUAAAACCAUUUCUGACAUCUCCGCAAAGUUUCAUAAUUUUCUGACACUGUGCAUUUUCUACUAAUUUCUCAGUCCCGUCCUUUACAGAAAAUUCUAAAUAUUUUAUUUUCGCUCCGAUUUCAACACAAGUCAUUCCAGACUUACAUUUUACACCCUUAAGUCGAAUCAAAUGGUAUCCCACACCAUUUAUAUUACUUUGCUCACUUUAAUUCUUUUAAUCAAAGUUAGCGUCGGAAAUCCGCAAAUUUUCUUUACUUUUUAUUUCGCGCCCAAUUUGCGUCGAAACACUUAUUUAUCAUCAGAAUUCAUUCUCACACGUCCAAAAUCACUAGGGGAAGAUAUUCAACUAGCUCGAGCUUCACUUUGAUCCCCUAGAUCAAAGUUAGCAUCGCAACUCAAGGUUUCCAUAUAUUACAUCCAUCCUCUUUCAUUCCAGCAUUGUGAGACAGUGGCUUCCUGAUUUGCGGUUCUGCAGCAGAAUAUUCUAGGAAAUCGGGUACUAAGUGGGGUUUCUUCAAUCCAAAUGUCCGACCACCACCUGAUAUUUUUUCCGUCACCAAGUACAUAAGAAAGCCCACAUUUGAACACUUUCUGACAGCUCAUCACACUUCUCCACCACUGGGAGUGCGGUCUGAAGGAUCUUCCCUCAUGUAACGGCUUUCUUCUAGUGUAAUAAAGUGCGGUGAUCAACCUACCCCAUAACAGGUGCCUCUCAUUGAAGAAACGCCACCACCAUUUAGCUAAAAGAGCCAUAUUCAUAGCUUCCAUAUCCUUGAUCUCCAGACCCCCUUCUUUCAUGCUUUUACAUAUCGUUUUCCACCCAACGAGACAAGAACCCCCAGAAAUUUUAGAGCACCCUUUCCAAAAGAAAGAUCUUCUAAGAGCUUCAAUGCGAUUCCGUACCCAAUGUGGCACUUUGAAAAUUGCAAAGUGGAAUAACGGAAGAUUCGACAGUACCGAGUUUACCAGGAUGAGUCUCCCCCCAUAAGAGAGGAGUUUUGCUUUCCAUCCAUCAAUACGCGUCUUGAUGUGGUUGACGAUCGGAGUCCAAUCGUCCUUUCAAAGGGAUUUGGUAUGAAGCGGCAACCCCAAGUAGCGACACGGUAGUUUACCUACUCUACACCCCAAUAUAUCUGCGAGUUGUUUAGCUCUGAAUGCGGUGGUUCCCACAUGGAAAUGUUCCGUCUUGUUCAAAUUAAUCUUGAGGCCAGAGGCCCAUGCAAACAUCUUCCAGAUAAACCGUAAGUUACGCAUCGCGGGCUUUUUGGGCUCCGAGAAGAAAAGCGUGUCAUCCGCGUAUUGCAGAAUCACUGUCUGACACUCGGCCGUCGGUCCAAUUCCCUAAAGCAAGUUAUUACCCCUUACUGCUGCGGUGAUCCUAGCCAAACAGUCGGCCACUAAUAUGAAUAGAUAGGGGGAAAGUGGGUCCCCCUGUCUUAGCCCCCUCCUUGUUUUCAUCCACUUUGUCGGCAAGCCGUUCACUAAAAUGGCGAUUUUGGCGUUACAGAUACAUUGUUCAAUCCAGUCCCGCCAUUUGUCACUGAACCCAAGCCACCGUAAAAUACUUUGCAAGAACUUCUAGCUAACUUUGCCGUAGGCCUUCUCAAAAUCCACCUUAACACUGACGCACUCCUUGUUAGUUCUAGCACACCAGUUGAGUAGUUCAGCUGCAGUGACAAAAGAGUCCGCUAGUAGUCGGUCUUUCAGGAAAGCCGAUUGAGAUGAAGAGAUAAUUGAUGGUAACACCGCCGCAAGUCUGUUCGCGAGCACUUUCGAGAUAAUCUUUUGAAUACCGUUUAGGAGGGAAAUUGGUCGAAAAUCGUUAACCUGGCAUGCACCUUCCUUUUUGGGGGUUAAACAUACAUAAGAGUAGUCUGCUGGUGCCGUGCAAAGGUCGGAAUUCUGAAGGUCUAAGAAAAUAUCAAAUAUGUUAUCCUUAACCGUCUCCCAGAAAUAUUGGAAAAAGAUCAGGGGGAAGCCGUCGGGACCUGGUGCCUUGUCACUACCUAGUUGAAAGAUAGCCUUUUUAACUUCAUCCAAGUUAAAGGGUGCCGAGAUGAGAUCCGAUAAGGCGUCCGCUUGAUACAAGUCGGCCCAAUCACCAAAAGAGGAAGGCACAUCUUCGGCCCACCCGAAUAGACGUUUGAAGGAGUGAAAGAAACAUGAUUUCAUUUGAGCUUCGUUUCUAAUUAGUCUGCCAGACUCAUCUUCAAUAAACUGUAUCUCAUUGCUUCGCUUCCGACCAUUGGCAACUGCAUGAAAGAAAUUUGUGUUAUUGUCCCCUUCCUUUAGCCAGUGUUGUUUCGCUCUCGUUUUCCGGAGGAUUUCUUCCUCCUGCAGGAUAAGUUGAAGUUGUGCUUUAAGGUCUACCCGUUUCUCCCGUACAUCCUGUGGCAGUAUGUUUCGUUCCUCUAACAUAUCGAUGUUUCUAAUUUCCUCUUUAAAACACCUCAACGCAUUGGCUAUACUGUGAAAUUUCGUCUUACACCAUUCCUUUAUUCUAAUCCUGCAGUGUCUCAAUUUUGCCAUUAAAGUAAGUAUAGCAGACCUCCCUCCAGAUACUUCAUUCCACCAGAUAGGUACGUUUUGUGAGAAGUCCUCCCUGGUAAGCCAUACUUUCUCAAACCGAAAUCGCCGCGGAGUGGGAUUGGUUCCAGAGGCCAGAAUUAGCGGGGUGUGAUCGGAAGUAAUUCUAGAUAGCGCGGAUACCCUACAGUGCGGGAAGGCUUGAUCCCACUCCGUCGAAACGAGAAAUCUGUCCAGCUUGACUAGGGUUGGUGAACGUUGCAUAUUAGACCAAGUAAAAUUUUGGUUGGAAAUGGGCAGGUCAAUGGCUUCAAGUUUAGAGAUGAGGUCAGAGAACAUAAACAUCGCUUCUGUACUCCACCGAUUUCCGGAGCAUUCUGCCUGGUUUCUAGUGAAGUUGAAAUCCCCGCAUAUCGCCCACUUACUGUUGGAGCAAAUCGCGCCAAGAGCGAGGAGUUCAAAACAGAACUCUUCUUUCCCAUCCCAUGUUGGCGGACCAUAUACAUUUGACAGAUAAAAACUCGUUCCACCGGUGACAUGUUUCAAGUUGAGGGUGAGCGAGUGAUCGCACACCAAAACUUCCGUACACUCGAAAAAUUUUGAGUUCCAACAUGUAAUUAAACCGCCAGAGGCUCCAACAACCGGAAUAAAUUGGCACUUGCCGAAACUCGAACCACAGCAAGAGCGAAGAAAGGAACGAGACGCAGAAUCCACUUUAGAUUCUUGGAUACAGACUACCGAACAAAAGAGUUUAGAGACAGUAGACCUGACACAACGACGCUUACAAGGGUCGUUUAGACCGCGAACAUUCCAAGUAAUAAUAUUAAACAUAGGAAAAGUGACACACACCCAAAAGUCGGCCCAAACACAACUCGAAACUUGCUCCAGAUCAACCCCGCAGCAAAAACUUGUGGAGCUCCUCGGCNAGGACCUUAGGGGAACCGGUCUCUUGACCUCAGGGACCGGUCCCUGAACAUAGAAAAGUUCAGUAAAGUAUUUUUAAAGCAAUCUAAGCCUUCUGAACUUAUUCUAAUCAACUAUCUUCAUCACAAAUGAUCUUUUCUUCAUACCUUAGGUGCCGAACUUUACGAGUGAGUCUUUUCCCUUCAAUUUAGAUCUUUUCUUCAAUCUUCUGCAAUCAACUCUUCAAGACUCCAUUCAACAUUACGAAAGCCGCCAACCUAUAAAAUCCUUAACACUGUCGAGAGAACGCCCUUUUGUGGUAGUUGAAAAUGUCCGAAACACAAAAAGUACUUUGGAGUUGAGUCCGCGAGAGCAAAUGAGGCAAACUGCAUCAUUGGGCUGAUGUUGCUCUCGGGGACCGGUCUCUCCAGGUGAGAGACCGGUUCCCUCGGCUGGGUGUAGCGGGGUUGCUUGGUGCAACCGGUCCCUGGUAGGGAGGGAUCGGUUCCCGAACGUGGUCCCAGCGAGAAUUGCCAAAAAUUGGCUAAGUCUUGAAAAUUGAGCUCUCGCGGACCGGUCUCCCAGGUGAGGACCGGUCUCCUGAGGACCGGUCUCCCGGGGGGAGACCGGUUCCCGAACGCGUGCGCCCGAGGGAAGCUCUCGGGGACCGGUCCCAAGUCGGGGAGACCGGACCCUCCGCGCGAAAACUGCCUUGUGAGGGCAGUGCACAGGAGUGAAAGUUGAGGGGCUUUUAUGCAAAAUGGCUUUUAUUUGAGUGGGCUGAGCCCUCUCUCUCCCUCACACUCAUCUCAUUUCACUUUCUCUCACUCUCUUUCUCUCUUGCUCUCUCUCUCUCUAGAAAAAAAAGGAAAAGAGAAGGAGAAGAAGAAAGAGAAGAAGAAGAAGGAGAAGAAGAAGAAGAAAAAGAAGGAGAACAAGAUAAGGAAGGCUUGGAGCAUCUUCCUCUCUUUCUCUCUUCUCCAUUUGUGUAGCUCUUGAGGUAGGCUACUAAACCCUAGCUUUGUAUACUUAGGGUUUUUGGGUUUUUAUGCUUUGGAAUGGGUCAAAUGGACCCCAAGCAUACUUCUAAGUAGAUCAAUCCCAUAAAUCUAGGGUUUUAUUAGAGGUUUGCUAUAUGUGCAACCUAGGGCUCCAAAUGGGGGCAUUUUGUAAAGUAUGAGAUUGAUCUCAUUUGAGGCCUUGUAAACCUAAUCGAUAGGUGCCCAAACGCGGGGGCGAAGUCAAUUUUGCGAUUCGUCAAGAGGGCUUGGAGCUAUCGGCGAAAUACGGUUGUUUCGGCACUAUCUUGGACCAAGGAAGGCUAAAGCCUUUUCGUAAAACUCACCGAGGAGCGUUUUUGGGGCCUCUACGUUGAUUAAAGGUGGGGGGUGCCAUCCCGAAGCUUUCGAACUCCUUUCUAUGUCUUAGAUUGCAUUUAAUCUCAUCUCUUCAUGUUGCAUUGUAGGAUUGCAUAGUAGCACCAUUCCUUAUGCUUUCUAAAUGAUAACCUAGUGUACUUGGAACGCUUGGUAACUUAGAUAGGUGAGGAUUGGGUCGGAACGUGGAUCCUAUGAUGCGAAAGAAAAGAGAUGUACCCGAUGGGGGUGUUGAUGACAUAGAAAGUAUUGUUAAUGUUAAAGAACAUACAAGUGGCAUCCAAACAUUGAAUGAUGACGAGUGGCAUUAAUGUAGUGUAUACGACACUAGAGGUUUGAGAACCUAGGGAUAGGUGGAUCGCUUAGAAAAUGCCUUGCGGACAAGAACUUAGUAAACCUAAGUAGCCUCACAUUGAGAGGUUGUUGAUGAGUCGAUUGAGACAUUGACCCUAGUGGUAGGGCAUCCUCACUUGGAGAGGACUCGAUUGGGUAUUGACUCUAGUUGAUAGCAUCCUCACUUGGAGAGGAUUGGAUUCGGUUGUUGACCCUAGUGAUAGUGCAUCCUCACUUGGAGAGGAUAGAUCUAGCUCACAGUCUGCGUUUGGGAUGGUAUAGCCAUCCAAUCCCCACAUGGAGGGGAUUGUCGUCGAGUACUCCGAAGUGUCGCGCGACUAGGACCACUUGGAGGUCCAGACCACAUGGAGGUCCGCAGACGGUCCUGGGCUUGGGUGCACUUGGAGCUCCCUCCCCACUUUGGGAUUGAAAGGUAAGUUAUGGGCGAGCCCUAGGGCCUCGCCACAGAUUGGGUAAAUGGAAAUGUUAAAGGUCUAACAAUGUUAUUGAACAUAGCUAUUCGAACAUGGAUCGAAUUUGUUAGCAUGGUAGCAAACCUUUAUUAUAUGAUGCAUGCAUUCAUAUUAAUGAUUAUGGGCAUAAUAGCAUAGUUUUCCUACUAUCGCAUUUACAGCUUUCACAUACAUAUCUAUCUAUCUAUCUAUUUGUUGUUACUUGUGCCCACUUGGACCUAGUGGGGAGAUCGGCAGAGUCGGCGGCCGAGCCCACUGGGAACUAUGGAAGAUAGUUCUCACCCCACUCUAUUUCCAGUGGUAGGUUCAGGGCUGCAGAUAGAGGACCGCGGCAAGGGCAUCGCGCCCGACCAGUGAGACCGUGGUAGUAUAGUAGCUUUCCUUUUUGCAUUAGUUCACCUAUGUAUUGAGAGAGAUCAUUGUAGGUGAGGAUUCAGAGAGCUAUGUAUUUUGAAGAUGAAAAAUGUAUUCAUGUAAAUGAAAUGUUGGAACUAUUGUAAUAGUUAGCAAGUACUCUCUUUAUUUCACUUGUUUUAUCUUGUGGAUCGCUUGCUCCUUGUAUUGUUGGCACUGUUUGUGCCCUUGUGAAUGUGUAUGCUUAGAAUUUAAUUUUCUGGGUAAAUUCUUGUACACAUUCCUGUUGUUGAGCCUUGGGCGAAUAGGGGAGGUGCUGUCCGUUCGGUGGCUCGCCGCCGCGGCCGAACCGUACCAAAUUGGUAGUGGUUUCGGGGCGGAGCGUGACAAGUUUCUUAUAUAGUAUAAAUUAUUGAAUCAAAGGAUUUGUUUAAAUAAAAUUUCUAUCAAAUGAUUUUUAAAUAAAAACAAAAUUUAAAAUCUAGAUAUUUUUAUUUUUCUAACUAGUAUGCUUAAUGAUUUCUUAACUUCAAAACUAAAAGAUUCGAUUCAUAUUAUGAAUCCGUAUCCCUCUGUCAUCCAAAUUGUAUUUGAACUUGUUUCGAUCAAAUAUGAUUGUGAAAUUUAUCAUCCAUUCAAUAUUUGUGUCCGAAUUGGUAUCCGCAUAUCAAAUACAAAACUGUUAAGCUUAUUAGAUCAUUGUCAUCCCUAAUUAAGAUACCACUGUUUGUGUUUGGCAUGUGAGCCAUUUUAUAUCGGACGUUUUUGGGUCAUGCUGGGAAGUAAAAGUCAAAUAUCCUGAUUAUAUCAGGAAAGAGCAGAGCAGAGCAGUGCAAAGGUAGGUGGUUAUUAUCCAUCCAUAUUAUUAUACCGUUUGUACUCACUCCCGCUUAAUUUAUUUAAUUAUUGGUAGUCCACACUGCACAGCAGCGGGCUGCGAGCUGCCAUAUUCAACUCAUUACCCUUUCUCCUUCUUUUAAAAAUAAACAAAACACCUUUUUAUUUCUUCCAAAGAAAAGAAAGUUGAAACAAAUAGGAUGGGAUGGGAUGGGAUGGGGGCAACAUUCAGCACAGAAUCCGUGCCAACUACCGCCCAACCCCCACCCCCACCUCCACCUGCUCCCUUUAAAAAUUCUUCUCAAACAUUAUUAGCUAGCUCUCAGCCACGCUACCUGGAGACGGCACAAGUAUUAAAUAUACAAGAAUAUUAAAGAGUCCAUCACCCGAGGAAGGUCCCAAACACAUUCUCCAUCAAUUAAAUAUAGAAUAUUAAAGAUACUAUCAUCCAGAACUCAGCUUUCAGAUAAACUAAGCUUCUGUAUUUCAAUCUCAUAAUAAAGAGUCCUAAUUUUAUUUCAUUUUCUCUCGUUUAAUUAUAACAUAACUUCUAUUAUGAUGCACGCACCCUUCUCAUUUGAAACAAAACGAAAAUGCCUGCGCCUAAUAUAAUAGGUAGGUCAUUAUUAAAUUCCAGAAAACACACUAAACAAACGAGAGAAAGUAGAGAUAUUUUAGACUAAAAAAAUUACCGGAGUGGCUGGAUAGUUAGGAAAAGAAAAUGAACGCACAAGGAAGUAAUAAACUGAGCGCACUCUGGAAAUGUUGGCUCCCUAAUACAACACAUUCUUCCACUUUGCUUAAGAGCCAUGAAAUUGACACUGCAUCAUACAAUAUUUGUAGCACACUGAACUUUAAUAAAUUAUAAGGUUUCAGUGUCCGAAUAGUGUUUGGUACUAUUCUGGAUGUGUUCGAGGGUCGAGAACUGUGUACCGAUCUAUUACUCGCGUUUUGUGAAGCGAUGUGAGUACUUAGCACCAAAAUAUGCAAACUGCAAGUUUUUGGGUGCUGAAUACCGAUACCACAGUGGGGUACCGAUACCUUGACGUGUGACUGAGAGGGCUGCUCUCGGGUUUGAGCUGAUCUAUUACUCGCGAAUAGUGUUUGGUACUAUUCUGGGUGUGUUCGAGGGUCGAGAACUGUGUACUGAUCUAUUACUCGCGUUUUGUGAAGCGAUCGUGAGUACUUAGCACCAAAAUAUACAAAAUGAAAGUUUUUGGGUGCUGAAUACCGAUACCACAGUGGGGUACCGAUACCUUGACGCGUGACCGAGAAGGCUGCUCUCGGGUUUGAGCUGAGGGGUGCUAAUUAAGUAUCGGUACAGAGUCGUCGGGUACCGGUACUCGGGCCGGAUACUGAUACUGCAUCGAGCUGGUACCGGUACACCGUAGUUUACCCACUUGAUAGAGGCUCGGGUUUUGCAGAUUGGUUGACGGGUACCGGUACUCUCCUUCGAGUACCGGUACACAAUGCAGUCUGACAUUUUAGCUCCUUUAACUCCACCAGUGCUAUUCUAUACGGAGCCUUCGAAACUGGUUCCGCCCCGGGAAUCAAGUCAAUGAUGAACUAGACUUCCCAGUCCGGUGGCAGUCUUGGUAACUCCGCCGGAAAUACAUCCGGGUACUCGCACGCUACUCGAAUAUCCCCCAACUCUGGGUACUCCUUUCGAGCAUUCACUGUCACGCCCCGACACCCGCCUAUUUGGUCGGAUUUGGGCACGCCGACAGACCGCCGAACAGACAGAAUUUCUCCUGUACGUCCUAGGCGUCGCAAUCAAUACAAUUCACGAUGUUCCAACCAAGAACAGAAAUCAACAUACAGAUUGCAUAUGGAAAGGUAUCAACAACAUAAACACAUCUUAUGUUAUUACAAGCAUUCACAUUGAUACAUUUGCUUACAUCUCAAUUACACUUUCUCUCCAACAUACAAUAUGAGUUAUUACAAUUUAUUACACAUUUGAUACAUCUUGUUCUUUUAUUUUCCUCUACCCCUAGGCUAUGCUGACUCGGGGUACCACUAUCUUUGGUCUCUGGGUAGGGUGCUAUCUACGGAGCUACGCCCUUGCCUCGCGCCGCUGCGCCGCUCAUGUGCAAACCUGUAAAACCCUAAAACAACGUGUGGUGAGAACCAACUCCAUGGUUCCCAGUGGGUACAGCCACCCAGGGGAAAAGCUCGACCAAUAGGUCCAAGGAAGCACUGCAACAAGUUAGUCCAAUAACAUAUAACAGAUAUAUAUAUUCGAUAUUGAACUAAAUGUCAUGCCUCGCAAAAUGCAAUAUGCAAUAUCCGUAACUUGAUUCUACUUCAUAUUAUUAACCAUUCUUUACUUGUAGCCGUUCUUUACUUUAUUAGUUAUUCUUUAUCAUUAGCUUUUCUCUAGUCUUUACUUGGUCACAUAACGCUCAUUGGCGAUUCUUUCCUAAGGUUGCUCAUACCUUAGCCAUCUAUGCCACUUGACUCGGUUUUGAGUCAAUCCUCUACGGAUAGUCCGCACACUGGCUGCUCAACAGCCCAUCGCACUCGAUGACUCGGCCACCCGGCGGCGAAAUCGUCGCACACGCACAGCUCUGGCUCAAGUCACCCUGCGGUAUGAUCCACAAACUGGCUCAACCAUCCGGCGACGAAAUCGUCGCACACGCCAUGACAAUGGUUCUUUAGCCCCGGGCAGCGAAAUCGUCGCACACACCCUGCACAACUCUUGGUGUUCCACGAGUCCUGAGAUUCUGGAAUCCAUUUCACAGUACUCAAGGAUUGGUCUUAACCCUAUGAAAUUGACCUAUCUAGGUCCAAGCCUUUACUCAACCUAAGUUAAUACUUUAGGUUCAUUGCUUUCAUACUCUUAGCCUAGGUUUAUUAACACUAGGUCCAUUAUUCUCGUCUACCUAGAUUCACUUGACUCUAGGUUCUUACCUUUACCUCACAACCUAUGUUCUCUAACAUUAGGUUUAAUGCCUUUCUCGUUAACCUAUGUUUAUUAACACUAGGUUCAUUAUCACUCUUGUUCAACCUAGGUUCACGACUCUAGGUUCAAUGCCACUCGAUCUAUAUGUAUACAUAUGUCCUUUACUCCUAGGUUCACGACUCUAGGUUCAAUGCCACUCGAUCUAUAUGUAUACAUAUGUCCCUUACUUAGCAUUCUUACAUUAACUAUAUUCUUAGCAUUAACCACAUGCUUGCAUUUAUUAAUUCUACAUCAUGCUUAUCAUACAAUUACUUAGCAUUCUUACAUUAACAUUUCUACACAUACAACAUGACUAACGUAUGUCAUUUAUUCUAUGCUUUCCACUUAGCAUUAUUUACACUAUGUCAUUACGCACCGUUUGGUAGCCUCACUUAGCAUUCAUCUCAUGCAUACACAUGGUCUAUUAAUAGCUACCAUUAUAUGCAUCAAUAAUAAUACUCAUUCUUAGACAUACAGGCGACCUAGUCGCUUCGGUAAAUACAACCGACCUUAACUCGCGUUUCGAUUGCUUGUCGACACUUGCAAUCGGCCUCCCGCGGCACCCGUAUCCGGCACAGCCCAAUAUUGCAAUUGCACCACAACCGUGCUCCGCUUCGCAGCCCCGAAAAUUAUAGGUCUUCGGUUAUGUGCCACGGUGCUCCAAAUCCAUUUCCACGAUUUUACGACGUCGCCUCGGCCCUCCAGACGGCAACGAAGCCUAAACGUCUGUUUCUUUAAUAACUUCGCAACGGCUCGUCGGAUUGCCGAACCGUCUUCGCCAACGCAUUUGUUUACCUAGCAAUUAGGCUUACGAAGGGUUAAAUGAGAUCAAACCCACCUCCUAGCAAAAAUUGCAUUACAGAGCCCUAGGUUACAACUAUUGUAAGAAAUCAUUAAAUUGAUCCAUGAUUCAAGCAUUAAUCCUCUAUUUAGCAUCAUAGGAUUCCAAAUAAGCCAUUUCUAUGGAUUAUAAACAAAGAUUUGAAGAUCUACCAUGAAAGGGCUCAAGAAGAUCACCUCAAAAUGAGCUCUAAACCAUGGAGAAGAUGAGGAAGAUGACGGCGAUUCACCUCCAAGCUUCAAUCUCCGCCAAUUUCUUUAAUUUUGGGAGAGAUUUAGAGAGAGAAUUUGAAGUUCUCUCUCUCCCUUCCAUGCGUGUGUGCGUGCGUGUGUAUGUGCGGUUUGGGCUGCUGUGGCUGAGCAAGGAGAAGAAGAAAAGGGUUGAGUCCCUUUUUACCAUUUUUCCCCUCAACUAAACACUAUUCAUCACGGGCAGCUUGAAAUCUGAUAAAUUUCGUUGGAGCCCUUCUGAAUGUCCGUUUGAGCUCAAAUUUGACAGGCAUGUUCGGUUUCACUUAAUAAGUCCAAAAAAAUUUUAAUCUUUCAGUUUCGACCCCGUUUGGUCACUGAAAACUGUACCGAACUACAAUCUUUAUCAGAUAGCUUUCGAAUUCUAUUUCUCUCUCUACGGGUGUCAAAAUGGUAUGAAACUUUAAAUCUAGCCCCAUAAAAAUAAUUCUGACAUAUCCGUCAAUUUUCAUAAUUUUCUGACUGUGAGAUCUCUGGUGUUCAGCUGUGGAGGCUUGUCGGCAGCUCUGGAGAGUGUCGGGAUAAGUUCGAGUCGCGUUGGUGUCAAAUAGACGUAAAACGGGCUUCGUGAGACGCGAGGGCAGUUUUUAGCGAAGAAAAUCUGCAAUUUGCUCAUUUACUGCUUGCUGUAACGGUACAGCCAUCGUGGUGUACCGGUACACUACACAGAUUACGCGCAUACUGCUCUCGGGUUGGCUUCCUGUACCGGUACGCGAUCCCGUGUACCGGUACACCAGGGUAGGUGAGAGGGUGUUUUGGUCUUUUUCUACCUCGUUCGUAUCACCCUCCUCUCCCCAGCUUAUUUACAUAUAGAGUAAGGCUGAGAGAGAGAGUUUUGCUCUUGGUUUCCUCCCCUCUCUCUCUAGAACCAAUUGUGGGCAAGGUGGAGCUCGGGUGGAGUUUCGUCGCCGACGUGGUGCCGCGGAGCCGUUCGAGCGCACGUUGUGUCGUCUUGGUGCUAUGAGGAGCUCGGGCGAGCGUAGAUUUCCGUCGUCCUCGACAUUGCGCCGAUUCUUGAGGAUCUAUCGAGGUGAGUGCUCUGUGGAAUUGCCGCGCAUACUUCAGGUAUCAUCAAUUCGAGCUUAAGUGCUGAUUCGCAGGAUUUUGUCGGCGACUGUUAGUAUUUCAGCUCGUUCUCGACGUAGGAGCAUCGGAUUGCGACGAGACUUGGUGCGUUGGAUUCGGGACUUCGAGAGGAAUCCAAGAAGCCCUUACAUGCGAAUUUUGGUGAAGGUUAGCUUGGUCGAAAUCCUUCUCUUCUCUGCUGCUGUGGAUUUUGGGACUGAAUUGGUGGAUUUUGAUCGUAGAGCUUAGAGUUAGCUCGAGUGCUAGACUUGGAGGGUUCCCGUUAAUCCAGCAGGGGUCACUUUGGUUCGAGGCCUUGUUCGCUGCCAGGAGCUAGCUUCUUGAGGUGGGUUACAUUGGUUUUGACUCCUAAGUUCAUAAUCGUCAACAUGUAUAGAUCUCGAUUUUGAUAAUUUAUUCUAGCUCGAAUUCAUGGAUUAUAUGAUAGAAUGCAAAUCUGAAUUUGGAGCAUGUGGUAAUAAAUUAAGUAGAUUAUAUAUGUUGGACUUGGAAACUGAAUUAGGAGAAAACCUGCGAUUUGGACCGUCACUUGAUUAAACUGCCUGAUUUAGCUCUAGGAGCUGUUAUUAUAUUGUACUGUCGCAGUAUUUUCGAGACGAGUACUCCAGGUAGUUUAGAAUGUAUCUACACUCGUGCUAGUUCGCCGAGGGGAUUUUACAGGGUCAUUCAAGCUGUUCCGUACUGUAGGGUGCCGUUGAGAUUGACGGUGGACCCGUUUCGCCUUUUUGGUGUCUGAUUGUGCCGAGGGCACGUUACUUGUUGGUUGUUAGACCAGUUAGAGUCGAUUUCUUGACUUUGGCUUUUCAGAGCCUGUUUGAGCUCGACAGAGAUACGCUGCAUACUCGGUUGGGUAGCGCCCACGAGUGCCACUCCGGAGUCAGGCUUUGUGCUUUCGCGUUGGUGUCGCUCAUGCCAGUUGGACUUGCUCUCCACGGACCAGUUAGUGUGGAUAGAGCUUGAUAGUCGCAACGGGGCAGGGACGGGUGUAUUCACAGUCCCGGGGACGGGUAUGCUUACAGUCCCGAUUGGAUUGGGUCAGAGUUGACAUUUCCUACAGUUGGUUAGUGUAGAGCAUGAUAGUGUAGUGAUCGAUAGCGGUAGAGUUUAUUUCCUGCUUUUCUGACUACUCUUGCUCCCUUCUGUAGACUUAGUGGGUGGACCGAUGUUGUUUUGGGCGGUACCCACUGAGGACUACUUGUUUUUACAGUAGUUCUCACGCCCAGUUGUUACCUAUGUUUUUGCAGAGCCACAGGUUCCGGCUGCUGCACCGUCCGCGGAUCAGGAUCGAGGCAAGGGCGUCGCGAGUUAGAGCCCUACCCGACGUGCUGAGCUAGAGGUGCCCCUACUGCAGGUAGAUGUUUUGUUUCGAGUUUAUGUACAUAGUGGACUUAACUCGCCAGUGCGAGUAGCUUUGUAUUUUGGAUUUGGACUAUGUAUAUGAAACUCAGUUUGUUUAGCUUCUGUUUUCUCUAGCAGCUCUCUACUACUGUUCGUAGUAGUGUUUGAUUUACAGGUACAGCUAUCGCUUCGUAUACAGGGAAAAUUUCUUUGUAUACGGCGGAUUUGUCGGCGUGCCCGGGGAACGUGUAAUCCGGGGCGUGACAGAUUAAGUUGGUAUCAGAGCUUUGCUGUAGGUCGUUGGGACCUAGGAAACCUAAGUUUGGCAAACCUUAGGGAAGCAAGACGUGAGAGGCGUAAUUUUAUUGCGAAAGUCAAUGAUUAUUUGUUCUAACUCCUCUUAGAGCAGAGUGAGUGACUGAAGGAGUUUCUGUUUCGGCCUGAGAAAUUAUGUUGGCUGCAGACGACAUAAUUUUGGAGGGAAACAGGGACCGCCUUCUAGACUUUCGUUUGAUUGGGUCGAGAGUGUUUUGUUGUAUCUGACCCCGAUUUGUUCCUUUCAGCUAUGUAUCGUCGCCGAGGUCGACCGUCGUUGCGGGAGCGUGCCCAGUUGGCGCGGGAUCAUGCUGGACCUUCUGAGAGAUCUGAGCAGAUGGAGCAGAGUACUCGGCAGGAGCAGGGUGACAGACUGGGGGCGAGUGUACCCCCUGUUGUGGAGCCGAGUGCGCGACCAGAGACUAGCGCACCCCCUGAUCUGAGUGCACAGUUAGCUGCCCUGACCGAGGUGACGAGACAGCAGGGGGAGCUAUUGCAGAGGUUGUGUGAGAGGAUAGCUCAGCCACCGAGUUCUGUACCGAGGGCACCAGAGUCGCCAGUUCCACCCCCGACUACUCCAGUGACAGCACCAGCUGCAGCAGUUCCUCCAUCGGCAGCAGUUCCAGUAGCGCCAGUUGCGCCUGCUAGGGGGCCAGUACCGUUGACUGAGGCCGAGCAGGAGCGGUGGACGGAGAGGUUAGCUCGUUUUCGCCGAUUUGAUCCACCGAUCUUCGAUGGCAGAGGCACUGAGGCCUGGAUUGUUGAGGGAUGGGUCAGUGCGAUGGAGAAGUUAUUCGAGGAUCUGUUCGUUCCAGAGUGGGAGCAAGUACCUUUGGGAGUACACUGUCUGUCUGGUGAUGCACAUGAUUGGUGGCGUAGAGCGAGGCGAGACCAGGGACUGGUGGCGACACAGUUGAGGUGGGAUGAGUUCUGUGGAAUGCUGUAUGGGAUGUAUUUCCCCAACAGCAUGAAACAGAAGAUCGAUGAGGACUUGAAGAGGAUCCAGUAGGGUAGCGGACAGUUCAGGAGUAUGUUCGGGAGUUUACUAGGCUCCUGAACUGUGUUUCGUUCGUGGCCAGAGACGAGGCACAUAGGGUCUACUUGUUUGAGCAGGGUUUAAGACCCGACCUUUUCAGGUUCGUUAGGGCGCAGAGGUCGAGAACUUUGGAUGCGUCCAUUGAGCAGGCAUUAUGGGAGGAGAGAGGAGAGGUGUCGCUGCGGGAGAGGGCUCAGGGGCCGGGACAGAGUCAGGACAGGAAGCGCCCAGCUCCAGACGNUUUAUUGCGAAAGUCAAUGAUUAUCUGUUCUAACUCCUCCUAGAGUGGGGUGAGUGACCGAAGGAGUUCCUGUUUUGGCCUGAGAAAUUAUGUUGGCUGCAGACGACAUAAUUUUGGAGGAAAACAGGGACCGCCUUCCAGACUUUCGUUGAUUGGGUCGAGAGUGUGCGUUGUAUCUGACCCCGAUUUGUUCCUUUUAGCUAUGUAUCGUCGCCGAGGUCGACCGUCGUUGCGGGCGCGUGCCCAAUUGGCGCGGGAUCGUGCGGGAUCCCCUGAGAGACCUGAGCAGAUGGAGCAGAGUACUCGACAGGAGCAGGGUGGCAGACCGAAGGCGAGUGCACCCCCUGUUGUGGAGCCGAGUGCGGGACCUGUGGCUAGCGCACCCCGGGAUCUGAGUGCACAGCUGGCUGCCCUGACUGAGGUGACGAGGCAGCAGGGGGAGUUGUUGCAGAGGUUGUGUGAGAGGAUAUCUCAGUCACUUAGUUCAGCACCGAGUGUACCAGAGCAGACUGUUCCACCACCGACUACUCCAGUGACCGUACCAGCUGCAGCAGUUCCUCCGUCGGCAGCAAUUCCAGUAGCGCCAGUUGCGCCGGCUAGGGGGCCAGUACCGUUGACUGAGGCCAAGCAGGAGCGGUGGACGGAGAGAUUAGCCCGUUUUCGUCGAUUUGACCCACCGAUCUUCGAUGGCAGAGGCACUGAGGCCUGGAUUGUUGAGGGAUGGGUCAGUGCGAUGGAGAAGUUAUUCGAGGAUCUGUUCGUUCCAGAGUGGGAGCAAGUACCUUUGGGAGUACACUGUCUGUCUGGUGAUGCACAUGAUUGGUGGCGUAGAGCGAGGCGAGACCAGGGACUGGUGGCGACACAGUUGAGGUGGGAUGAGUUCUGUGGAAUGCUGUAUGGGAUGUAUUUCCCCAACAGCAUGAAACAGAAGAUCGAUGAGGACUUGAAGAGGAUCCAGUAGGGUAGCGGACAGUUCAGGAGUAUGUUCGGGAGUUUACUAGGCUCCUGAACUGUGUUUCGUUCGUGGCCAGAGACGAGGCACAUAGGGUCUACUUGUUUGAGCAGGGUUUAAGACCCGACCUUUUCAGGUUCGUUAGGGCGCAGAGGUCGAGAACUUUGGAUGCGUCCAUUGAGCAGGCAUUAUGGGAGGAGAGAGGAGAGGUGUCGCUGCGGGAGAGGGCUCAGGGGCCGGGACAGAGUCAGGACAGGAAGCGCCCAGCUCCAGACGACGGAGGUCAGUCGAGUAGCAGGCGUCCGCCGAGGCCUCCACGAUCGCAUUCACAGGGUCGUGGGUUUUCGGGGCGUCAGCGGUCCAGGGACUCUCGUCAGAGGGGACAGCCAGAGAGGACGCCGCAGUGUGUGAUCUGCGGAGGACCACACUGGCCCAGACAGUGCGAGCAGAGGGAGGGCCGGUGCUACGGAUGUGGUCAGCCGGGACACAUGAGGGCAGCUUGUCCCCAAGCAGCAUCUCCAGCACCAUCGUCAGCUUCAGCUCCACCAGCACCUCAGCAGACUUACAGAGCAGCGCCGAGUUACCGCCAGGAUGAUAGAUCAUCCAUGCCGCGACAGUGUGAGCGGCGACAGCAGGCUCCGAGUGGCAGAGUCUAUGCAGCACAGGUGGAGGACUCUACGGCAGCCAACCGAGUGGUGGCAGGUAUCACUUUGAUUUUCGGCAUUCGUACUCGUACUCUUUUUGAUACUUGAGCCUCGCAUUCUUUUGUUAGCCGAGCAUUUGUAUUGUUGCAUGGUCUAGAGUUAGGGGCAUUGUCACAGGCACGAGAGGUGCAGAUUCCGGUCCAUGUUUUACAGGUUGCAGAGUGUUGUUGGUCAUGUCCGGUGCAAUUGGAUUCGUGGGUUAUGCCCGCAGACCUGUUGGUGCUAGGGCAGCUGUAGGACUUCGACGUUGUGCUCGAUAUGGAUUGGCUGGCGCGGUACUAUGCUACGAUUGAUUGUGGAGCGAGGACGGUGACGUUCCACGAGCCAGGCCAGGAUGAGUUCACUUUCAGAGGCUGCAGGAGUACGUUGUUUGCCACCUGGAUCUUUUCGGCGAGGCUCGACAGAUGCUGAGUAGCGGGUGUAUUUGUCACGCCCCGAGGUCCCUUUUAAGUUUGGAAAAACAGCGGAAACGACUAAAUUUUUUUUUUGAAGCACCUGAUCCCAGAUAUUGUCAGAUCCGCCACAAAUACAGAGAAUCCACUAUUCACACGGACAGAGUCUCCCCUGUAUUUGCACGGCGUCGCACAAGUACAAAAGUACAAACAGUAUACAACCACAACUAAAUGAAUAUACAGAUAGCUAUACGUUCAUACAUUUACCAUUCACACCGUAGUUUUACAUUCGAUGUUUAAACAAAAGUCCACGAAAAACCUUUUAAAAACUGUUCCAUACGCGAAAACUUUUAUCUUUUAUAAAGGCUACCACGAGGGGUAGAAAACCUUUUAUUUUACCAAAUCCAGAAAUUCUUUUAUUACAUUCAUGAAAGUCCACAUAUUCUAAUGUAAUAAAAAUACUGAACCAUAUAAACUGACUAAGCUAUAACAACAGAAUAGUAGGGAUAAAACUAAACCGAUAAUCUGGGUCGGAAGCUCUAUCGACCGCUACGAACGUACCUCACGGCUCGUCCCAAAACUCAACGUCUGCAACACCUGAAAAAUAGUGGGGGAGGUGAGAACAUGUAAACAUGUCUCCCCUCCCAGUGGGUACCGCAAGCCGAAGAAGGCGAGGAGUACUCACCGGAUCAGGAAGAGAUAAACAACAGUAUGGGUAAGUAAAAUACAGUAGCAACGAUAAUGAACGAAUGAGAUAUAUAUAUGAAAACACAACUACCGCUACUGUAAUGUACAACUGCAAGCAUACAAGGAUAUCAAAACUAUAGUAGCAAGACAACUGUAAAGAAAGAACUAGAAGUAUAUAUGCAACAACCGCUACUAUAGCUAUAUGCGUCAACCGGACGAGAAGUCCAAAAGUACCCAAUCUAAACCGCCGUGUCGGUCUAAGGACCUCAGGCAAAAGCCACUACCUGCUCACACCUGGCAUGUAACCCUAGCACAAAGAGAACACCGCUGGGCUCACGGGUCGGAUGUACGACCACUUUUCCGGAAAAGAACACCCUCCUGCGGGGGAUCAACCCGCUGGUGUACGUGAAAUGCACUCGAGCUGUGGCGAUCAAUGCGGAUAUGAUCAAUAGCCAAAUGUCGGCAACCAGCCAACAAUCACCGCCCCUCGGGGCAAGCCGACCAAUAGGUCAUCAAACUAUAAAGAAGCACAAGAACCGACCACUCAAGUCAACUAGGAUGGAACGACUCUACAUCCUCUCAACUGUAUGUAAGUACUGACUAAUCAAGUCAACUGGGAUGGAACAACUCAACAUCCUACCAAAAGUAUGUAGAUACUGAUCAAUAGGUCAACUACUGUAUAUAUGCAAGAAUCGAUCAACAAGUCAUCUGAGUAUAUAAUCUAGAACUACCGUCGGCCAUGGCCGACAAUCCUACCCCUCAGGGUACACCGACCUCAAAGGUCAUCAAACGACAGAAGUCAAGAAACAGACCAACCCAAUACAUAAUGCAACAACCGACCAACCAGGUCAACAGAUAUAAGAUAAAAGCACCGAUCAACUAGAUCACCGAAACGAAGUACGAGAACCGACCAAUCAGGUCACCGAAACAAAGUACGAGAACCGACCAAUCAGGUCACCGAAACGAAGUACGAGAACCGACCAAUCAGGUCACCGAAACAAAGUACGAGAACCGACCAAUCAGGUCACCGGUAUCACAUAUGGAUAAACUACUCUACUCCUACACAUGAUACUAAGCAUAGAAACAUAUAAGUAGAGUAUAAUAGAAACAACGGGGAUGCAAGCUCA